GCCCAUGUAGCUCAGGGGUAGAGCACUCCCUUGGUAAGGGAGAGGUCGGCAGUUCAAAUCUGCCCGUGGGCACCA
This 75-nucleotide transfer RNA is filed under the name Neisseria meningitidis. RNAcentral describes it as "tRNA-Thr". It matches the Rfam family "tRNA". From Rfam's summary of the family: Transfer RNA (tRNA) molecules are approximately 80 nucleotides in length. Their secondary structure includes four short double-helical elements and three loops (D, anti-codon, and T loops). Further hydrogen bonds mediate the characteristic L-shaped molecular structure. tRNAs have two regions of fundamental functional importance: the anti-codon, which is responsible for specific mRNA codon recognition, and the 3' end, to which the tRNAs corresponding amino acid is attached (by aminoacyl-tRNA synthetases). tRNAs cope with the degeneracy of the genetic code in two manners: having more than one tRNA (with a specific anti-codon) for a particular amino acid; and 'wobble' base-pairing, i.e. permitting non-standard base-pairing at the 3rd anti-codon position. Lineage: Bacteria; Pseudomonadati; Pseudomonadota; Betaproteobacteria; Neisseriales; Neisseriaceae. The record is from RNAcentral.